UGGGUUAAGCUAUAAAAAAGUGCCCGUUGACUACGGUAACGGGAGAAUAGGGAAACAGGUGAAAAUCCUGUGCGGUUACGCCGCUGUAACGAAGGACGAAAGCAAAAUAACGCCACUGCAAAAUAUUUUUGCGGGAAGGCCUCGCGAGUAGAACGAUUUCGAAGUCAGAAGACCUGCUUUUUUAUGCUCAUCAUU
Molecule: non-coding RNA, 195 nt
Filed under: Candidatus Criblamydia sequanensis
Lineage: Bacteria; Pseudomonadati; Chlamydiota; Chlamydiia; Parachlamydiales; Candidatus Criblamydiaceae
Also listed under: 1 other name
Source: RNAcentral